UUCAAACACAACUUGACAUGGAAAGAGAGUGAGCAGUACUGCACUGACAUGAAGGCUACUCUCCUGAAGACUGACAACCAGAACAUUCUGUGGAUAGAAGUCAAGGGCUCCAAUGUCUCCCAAGACGAAAGAAUCCCAAGUCUCAUUUGGAGGAAUGCUAUCACUAACUAGGAUUCCUGGAGCUAAAACAUUAUGAGCAUGCUGUCUUGUGAUGGUGAUUUCAUGUGUUUUCUGCAUGGGAUUAUUAACAGCAUCCAUUUUCUUGGGCGUCAAGUUGUUGCAGGUGUCCACCAUUGCGAUGCAGCAGCAAGAAAAACUCAUCCAACAAGAGAGGGCACUGCUAAACUUUACAGAAUGGAAGAGAAGCUGUGCCCUUCAGAUGAAAUAUUGCCAAGCCUUCAUGCAAAACUCAUUAAGUUCAGCCCAUAACAGCAGUCCUUGUCCAAACAAUUGGAUUCAGAACAGAGAAAGUUGUUACUAUGUCUCUGAAAUUUGGAGCAUUUGGCACACCAGUCAAGAGAAUUGUUUAAAGGAAGGUUCCACGCUGCUACAAAUAGAGAGCAAAGAAGAAAUGGAUUUUAUCACUGGCAGCUUGAGGAAGAUUAAAGGAAGCUAUGAUUACUGGGUGGGGUUGUCUCAGGAUGGACACAGCGGACGCUGGCUUUGGCAAGAUGGCUCCUCUCCUUCUCCUGGCCUGUUGCCAGCAGAGAGAUCCCAGUCAGCUAACCAAGUCUGUGGAUACGUGAAAAGCAAUUCCCUUCUUUCGUCUAACUGCAGCACGUGGAAGUAUUUUAUCUGUGAGAAGUAUGCGUUGAGAUCCUCUGUCUGAAAGAAAUUGUGUUCAAAGUGUUCUAUUACACUGUUAUUUGGAGCAUGCCAUUGGAAAACCCACCCCCACCCCCCCUCAAAAAAACAGAACAGUAAACCAAAAUGUGGGCCAUGAAAUUAGCAACCUGGGACUCAAUAAUACACUUGGGAAUAUUCUUCCACACCGUCCAGAUUUCAUUUGAUGUUGUUCACAUUGCAAGAGUAAAACUUAUUUAGAGCUACAGAAGACAAAACCCUGAAGAGUUAAGAACAAACGCAAGGAAAUAAUUUUUAUUGUUUAAAGCCCGGAAUGACUGUAACUUUCACACAAGGUACGCAUCUAUGUUUUUGGGGGAGGUGAUGUAGUUACAGCUGACUAAUAUUUUUAAAAUAAAUAAAUAAAUUUGGCCUUUAAAACUC
RNAcentral lists this long non-coding RNA (1227 nucleotides) under Homo sapiens (human). RNAcentral describes it as "long non-coding RNA NONHSAT161842.1". The record is from RNAcentral. Lineage: Eukaryota; Metazoa; Chordata; Mammalia; Primates; Hominidae.